This 1443-nucleotide ribosomal RNA is filed under the name Bacillus sp. 2BSG-10NA-11. RNAcentral describes it as "bacterial SSU rRNA". It matches the Rfam family "Bacterial small subunit ribosomal RNA". Lineage: Bacteria; Bacillati; Bacillota; Bacilli; Caryophanales; Bacillaceae. The record is from RNAcentral.
ACGAACGCUGGCGGCGUGCCUAAUACAUGCAAGUCGAGCGGACCGACGGGAGCUUGCUCCCUUAGGUCAGCGGCGGACGGGUGAGUAACACGUGGGUAACCUGCCUGUAAGACUGGGAUAACUCCGGGAAACCGGGGCUAAUACCGGAUGCUUGAUUGAACCGCAUGGUUCAAUCAUGAAAGGCGGCUUCGGCUGCCGUUUACAGAUGGACCCGCGGCGCAUUAGCUAGUUGGUGAGGUAACGGCUCACCAAGGCGACGAUGCGUAGCCGACCUGAGAGGGUGAUCGGCCACACUGGGACUGAGACACGGCCCAGACUCCUACGGGAGGCAGCAGUAGGGAAUCUUCCGCAAUGGACGAAAGUCUGACGGAGCAACGCCGCGUGAGUGAUGAAGGUUUUCGGAUCGUAAAGCUCUGUUGUUAGGGAAGAACAAGUACCGUUCGAAUAGGGCGGUACCUUGACGGUACCUAACCAGAAAGCCACGGCUAACUACGUGCCAGCAGCCGCGGUAAUACGUAGGUGGCAAGCGUUGUCCGGAAUUAUUGGGCGUAAAGCGCGCGCAGGCGGUUUCUUAAGUCUGAUGUGAAAGCCCCCGGCUCAACCGGGGAGGGUCAUUGGAAACUGGGGAACUUGAGUGCAGAAGAGGAGAGUGGAAUUCCACGUGUAGCGGUGAAAUGCGUAGAGAUGUGGAGGAACACCAGUGGCGAAGGCGACUCUCUGGUCUGUAACUGACGCUGAGGCGCGAAAGCGUGGGGAGCGAACAGGAUUAGAUACCCUGGUAGUCCACGCCGUAAACGAUGAGUGCUAAGUGUUAGAGGGUUUCCGCCCUUUAGUGCUGCAGCAAACGCAUUAAGCACUCCGCCUGGGGAGUACGGUCGCAAGACUGAAACUCAAAGGAAUUGACGGGGGCCCGCACAAGCGGUGGAGCAUGUGGUUUAAUUCGAAGCAACGCGAAGAACCUUACCAGGUCUUGACAUCCUCUGACAUCCCUAGAGAUAGGGCUUCCCCUUCGGGGGCAGAGUGACAGGUGGUGCAUGGUUGUCGUCAGCUCGUGUCGUGAGAUGUUGGGUUAAGUCCCGCAACGAGCGCAACCCUUGAUCUUAGUUGCCAGCAUUCAGUUGGGCACUCUAAGGUGACUGCCGGUGACAAACCGGAGGAAGGUGGGGAUGACGUCAAAUCAUCAUGCCCCUUAUGACCUGGGCUACACACGUGCUACAAUGGACAGAACAAAGGGCAGCGAAGCCGCGAGGCUCAGCCAAUCCCACAAAUCUGUUCUCAGUUCGGAUCGCAGUCUGCAACUCGACUGCGUGAAGCUGGAAUCGCUAGUAAUCGCGGAUCAGCAUGCCGCGGNUGGAUACGGUUUCCGGGGCUUGUACACACCGCCCGUCACACCACGAGAGUUUGUAACACCCGAAGUCGGUGAGGUAACCUUUUGGAGCCAGC